AACCUCCUGGCUCCAUACAUGCCCGUAGCAUAGUACAUAUAUGAAAAUGUAUUUGUACUAUGCUACGGGCAUGUAUGGAGCCAGGAGGUU
RNAcentral lists this microRNA precursor (90 nucleotides) under Sorghum bicolor (sorghum). RNAcentral describes it as "mir-160 microRNA precursor family". It matches the Rfam family "mir-160 microRNA precursor family". Rfam says of the family: The hairpin precursors (represented here) are predicted based on base pairing and cross-species conservation -- their extents are not known. In this case the mature sequence is excised from the 5' arm of the hairpin. Lineage: Eukaryota; Viridiplantae; Streptophyta; Magnoliopsida; Poales; Poaceae. The record is from Rfam by way of RNAcentral.